RNAcentral lists this ribosomal RNA (332 nucleotides) under uncultured bacterium. RNAcentral's name for it is "bacterial SSU rRNA". It matches the Rfam family "Bacterial small subunit ribosomal RNA", at positions 568 to 898 of the family's 1533-position model. The record is from RNAcentral.
UGUGCAGGCGGGGGGUCAAGUGGUGUAUGAAAUGGCCCGGCUUAACCGGGCAGCGGUAUGCCAGACUGGCCUUCUUGGGUGCGAGAGAGGGGCGUGGAAUUCCGGGUGUAGUGGUGAAAUGCGUAGAGAUCCGGAGGAACCCCAGAGGCGAAGGCGGCGCCCUGGCUCGCAACCGACGCUCAGACACGACAGCAUGGGGAGCGAACGGGAUUAGAAACCCCGGUAGUCCAUGCCGUAAACGAUGCAAACUAGGCGCUGACGGUCUCAACCCCGCCGGUGCCGCAGCUAACGCGUUAAGUUUGCCGCCUGGGGAGUACGGCCGCAAGGCUAAA